CGCGUAGGCGGAUUAGCAAGUCAGAUGUGAAAUUUCGGGGCUUAACCCCGAAGCUGCAUUUGAAACUAUUAAUCUUGAGGGUAGGCGGAGAAAAUGGAAUUCCACGUGUAGCGGUGAAAUGCGUAGAUACGUGGAGGAACACCGGUGGCGAAGCGAUUUCUAGCUUAUACCUGACGCUGAGGCGCGAGAGCAAGGGGGAGCAAACA
RNAcentral lists this ribosomal RNA (206 nucleotides) under uncultured bacterium. Its description in RNAcentral is "partial 16S ribosomal RNA". It matches the Rfam family "Bacterial small subunit ribosomal RNA", at positions 568 to 774 of the family's 1533-position model. The record is from RNAcentral.